CCUACGGGAGGCAGCAGUGAGGAAUAUUGGUCAAUGGACGAGAGUCUGAACCAGCCAAGUAGCGUGAAGGAUGACUGCCCUCUGGGUUGUAAACUUCUUUUAUAUGGUAAUAAAAUGUUCCACGUGUGGGAUUUUGUAUGUACCAUAUGAAUAAGGAUCGGCUAACUCCGUGCCAGCAGCCGCGGUAAUACGGAGGAUCCGAGCGUUAUCCGGAUUUAUUGGGUUUAAAGGGAGCGUAGGUGGAUUGUUAAGUCAGUUGUGAAAGUUUGCGGCUCAACCGUAAAAUUGCAGUUGAAACUGGCAGUCUUGAGUACAGUAGAGGUGGGCGGAAUUCGUGGUGUAGCGGUGAAAUGCUUAGAUAUCACGAAGAACUCCGAUUGCGAAGGCAGUUCACUGGACUGCAACUGACACUGAGGCUCGAAAGUGUGGGUAUCAAACAGGAUUAGAUACCCCUGUAGUC
Molecule: ribosomal RNA, 460 nt
Filed under: uncultured bacterium
Lineage: Bacteria
Description: partial 16S ribosomal RNA
Rfam family: Bacterial small subunit ribosomal RNA
Source: RNAcentral